Girardinichthys multiradiatus is the source of this 361-nucleotide long non-coding RNA. RefSeq lists it as uncharacterized. The record is from RefSeq and is a predicted model, not a curated record. NCBI's taxonomy places the organism in Eukaryota, Metazoa, Chordata, Actinopteri, Cyprinodontiformes, Goodeidae. The transcript has 3 exons.
GUUGUCUCCUUCACUGCGGAGCUUCCAGAAGGGCUGGAUGUAGAACCAGGAGCCCUCGUUUCCAGCUGGGUCCAAAGAAACCCGCAUGGCGUUUUUCUCAAGCAGUGCAGGCAGACGUUUGUUCACCGUCAGCCUUCCAGAACUGCUUCUGAGCCGAAUAUCUGUUCAUGGGACACACCUUGAAGAGGUAAUCUGCAGAAGAGAUGAAUUCAGUCAUCACAUGUGCUUGGUUUGAGCUGGGUGGAUUGGCCAGGUCUCCUGCUUCGGGCUGCACCACGCACCUGUCAUCGACAAGCCUGCAGAGAAGAGCCAAACAGAGGAUCAAAACAUGACAAUUAUUCCUAAAUGCAUCAAUCAUAUG